Molecule: ribosomal RNA, 823 nt
Filed under: uncultured Haemophilus sp.
Lineage: Bacteria; Pseudomonadati; Pseudomonadota; Gammaproteobacteria; Pasteurellales; Pasteurellaceae
Description: bacterial SSU rRNA
Rfam family: Bacterial small subunit ribosomal RNA
Source: RNAcentral
CAUGCAAGUCGAACGGUAGCAGGAGAAAGCUUGCUUUCUUGCUGACGAGUGGCGGACGGGUGAGUAAUGCUUGGGAAUCUGGCUUAUGGAGGGGGAUAACGACGGGAAACUGUCGCUAAUACCGCGUAGUGUCGAGAGACGAAAGGGUGGGACUUUUAGCCACCUGCCAUAGGAUGAGCCCAAGUGGGAUUAGGUAGUUGGUGGGGUAAAGGCCUACCAAGCCUGCGAUCUCUAGCUGGUCUGAGAGGAUGACCAGCCACACUGGAACUGAGACACGGUCCAGACUCCUACGGGAGGCAGCAGUGGGGAAUAUUGCGCAAUGGGGGGAACCCUGACGCAGCCAUGCCGCGUGAAUGAAGAAGGCCUUCGGGUUGUAAAGUUCUUUCGGUAUUGAGGAAGGUUGAUGUGUUAAUAGCACAUCAAAUUGACGUUAAAUACAGAAGAAGCACCGGCUAACUCCGUGCCAGCAGCCGCGGUAAUACGGAGGGUGCGAGCGUUAAUCGGAAUAACUGGGCGUAAAGGGCACGCAGGCGGUUAUUUAAGUGAGGUGUGAAAGCCCCGGGCUUAACCUGGGAAUUGCAUUUCAGACUGGGUAACUAGAGUACUUUAGGGAGGGGUAGAAUUCCACGUGUAGCGGUGAAAUGCGUAGAGAUGUGGAGGAAUACCGAAGGCGAAGGCAGCCCCUUGGGAAUGUACUGACGCUCAUGUGCGAAAGCGUGGGGAGCAAACAGGAUUAGAUACCCUGGUAGUCCACGCUGUAAACGCUGUCGAUUUGGGGGUUGGGGUUUAACUCUGGCGCCCGUAGCUAACGUGAUAAAUCGAC